UACGUAGGGGGCGAGCGUUGUCCGGAUUUAUUGGGCGUAAAGAGCUCGUAGGCGGUUCGGUAAGUCAGAUGUAAAAACUCCAGGCUCAACUUGGAGAGGCCAUCUGAUACUGCCGUGACUAGAGUCCGGUAGAGGAGCACGGAAUUCCUGGUGUAGCGGUGAAAUGCGCAGAUAUCAGGGGGAACACCAGCGGCGAAGGCGGUGCUCUGGGCCGGAACUGACGCUGAGGCACGAAAGCGUGGGGAGCAAACAGG
RNAcentral lists this ribosomal RNA (254 nucleotides) under uncultured bacterium. RNAcentral's name for it is "partial 16S ribosomal RNA". It matches the Rfam family "Bacterial small subunit ribosomal RNA", at positions 524 to 776 of the family's 1533-position model. The record is from RNAcentral.